Molecule: ribosomal RNA, 784 nt
Filed under: uncultured bacterium
Lineage: Bacteria
Description: bacterial SSU rRNA
Rfam family: Bacterial small subunit ribosomal RNA
Source: RNAcentral
ACGCUGGCGGCGUGCCUAACACAUGCAAGUCGAACGCCUUGUGGUUUUAAUGAAUAGCGUGCUUGCACAAUAUGAUUUAAAACAAUGCAAGGAGUGGCGAACGGGUGAGUAACACGUGGGAAACCUACCUCUUAGCAGGGGAUAACAUUUGGAAACAGAUGCUAAUACCGUAUAACACUAAAAACCGCAUGGUUUUUAUUUGAAAGAUGGUUCUGCUAUCACUAAGAGAUGGUCCCGCGGUGCAUUAGUUAGAUGGUGAGGUAAUGGCUCACCAUGACGAUGAUGCAUAGCCGAGUUGAGAGACUGAUCGGCCACAAUGGGACUGAGACACGGCCCAUACUCCUACGGGAGGCAGCAGUAGGGAAUCUUCCACAAUGGGCGCAAGCCUGAUGGAGCAACGCCGCGUGUGUGAUGAAGGGUUUCGGCUCGUAAAGCACUGUUGUAAGAGAAGAAUGUACUUGAGAGUAACUGUUCAAGUAGUGACGGUAUCUUACCAGAAAGGGACGGCUAAAUACGUGCCAGCAGCCGCGGUAAUACGUAUGUCCCAAGCGUUAUCCGGAUUUAUUGGGCGUAAAGCGAGCGCAGACGGUUAUUUAAGUCUGAAGUGAAAGCCCUCAGCUCAACUGAGGAAUUGCUUUGGAAACUGGAUGACUUGAGUGCAGUAGAGGAAAGUGGAACUCCAUGUGUAGCGGUGAAAUGCGUAGAUAUAUGGAAGAACACCAGUGGCGAAGGCGGCUUUCUGGACUGUAACUGACGUUGAGGCUCGAAAGUGUGGGUAGCAAAC